GCGGUCUCCACACGCAGGACCGAGACUUCAGGCGGCGGUUGAAGCUUUCUGAAGGGUCCCUUUCAGCCUCUCUCCAGUCAGCUCCAGCGCCUCAUGCUCCCUGCUCACAACUCCGCUCGCAGCUCGGGGCGCUCUUCGCGAGCUCCAGGGUUCCUGCGAAUAGCCUGGCCACGUCGACCGCCGCAAGCUGCUUUUAGACCUUGCGGUUCCACUUCCUGUGUGUGAUUCAAGAGACAGAGGAGACCGUGGACGAGCGAGUGCCCAAGAUAAGAACCGCAG
RNAcentral lists this long non-coding RNA (279 nucleotides) under Dasypus novemcinctus (nine-banded armadillo). Its description in RNAcentral is "lncRNA (ENSDNOG00000050194.1)". The record is from RNAcentral. Lineage: Eukaryota; Metazoa; Chordata; Mammalia; Cingulata; Dasypodidae.